Molecule: ribosomal RNA, 305 nt
Filed under: uncultured bacterium
Lineage: Bacteria
Description: bacterial SSU rRNA
Rfam family: Bacterial small subunit ribosomal RNA
Source: RNAcentral
CCUCGGGACGCAGCAGUGAGGAAUAUUGGUCAAUGGGCGCGAGCCUGAACCAGCCAAGUCGCGUGAGGGAAGACGGUCCUAUGGAUUGUAAACCUCUUUUGUCGGGGAGCAAAAGACGCCACGCGUGGCGUUCCGAGAGUACCCGAAGAAAAAGCAUCGGCUAACUCCGUGCCAGCAGCCGCGGUAAUACGGAGGAUGCGAGCGUUAUCCGGCUUUAUUGGGUUUAAAGGGUGCGCAGGCGGAAGAUCAAGCCAGCGGUAAAAUUGAGAGGCUCAACCUCUUCGAGCCGUUGCAACUGGUUUUCU